RNAcentral lists this ribosomal RNA (1456 nucleotides) under Clostridium filamentosum. RNAcentral's name for it is "16S ribosomal RNA". It matches the Rfam family "Bacterial small subunit ribosomal RNA". Lineage: Bacteria; Bacillati; Bacillota; Clostridia; Eubacteriales; Clostridiaceae. The record is from RNAcentral.
NNNNNNGAGAGUUUGAUCCUGGCUCAGGAUGAACGCUGGCGGCGUGCCUAACACAUGCAAGUCGAGCGAAGGAUAUAAACUUAGCGGCGGAUGGGUGAGUAACGCGUGAGAAAUCUACCUGCACUAGGGAUAGCCUCGGGAAACUGGGAAUAAUACCCUCUGACACUUACAUUUCACAUGAAAGUAAGUUAAAGCUUUAGCCCUUUUGCUUGAUGAUUACAGUCCCAUUAGUUAGUUGGUAAGGUAAUGGCUUACCAAGACUACGAUGGGUAGCCGGCCUGAGAGGGUGACCGGCCACACUGGAACUGAGACACGGUCCAGACUCCUACGGGAGGCAGCAGUGGGGAAUAUUGCACAAUGGAGGAAACUCUGAUGCAGCGACGUCGCGUGAACGAUGAAGGUCUUCGGAUCGUAAAGUUCUGUCCUAGGGGAAGAUAGUGACGGUACCUUAGGAGGAAGCCCCGGCUAACUACGUGCCAGCAGCCGCGGUAACACGUAGGGGGCGAGCGUUGUCCGGAAUUACUGGGUGUAAAGGGUGCGUAGGCGGCCUUGCAAGCCAGAUGUGAAAGAUCAUGGCUUAACUGUGGUAAGCAUUUGAAACUGUAAGGCUUGAGUACAGGAGAGGAGAGUGGAAUUCCUAGUGUAGCGGUGAAAUGCGUAGANAUUAGGAAGAAUAUCAGUGGCGAAGGCGGCUCUCUGGACUGUAACUGACGCUGAGGCAUGAAAGCGUGGGNAGCAAACAGGAUUAGAUACCCUGGUAGUCCACGCUGUAAACGAUGAGUGCUAGGUGUCGGGGGUCAUACCUCGGUGCCGCAGUUAACGCAUUAAGCACUCCACCUGGGGAGUACGGCCGCAANUGAAACUCAAAGGAAUUGACGGGGACCCGCACAAGCAGCGGAGCAUGUGGUUUAAUUCGACGCAACGCGAAGAACCUUACCAGGGCUUGACAUNCCUCGGACCGGACUAGAGAUAGUCCUUUCCCUUCGGGGACUGAGGGUGACAGGUGGUGCAUGGUUGUCGUCAGUCCCGCAACGAGCGNAACCCUUNNNNNNNNNNNNNNNNNNNNNNNNNNNNNNNNNNNNNNNNNNNNNNNNNNNNNNNNGGAGGAAGGUGGGGAUGACGUCAAAUCAUCAUGCCCUUUAUGUCCUGGGCUACACACGUGCUACAAUGGUCGAUACAACGGGUUGCCACCUCGNAAGAGGGAGCUAAUCCCACAAAGUCGAUCCCAGUUCGGAUUGUAGGCUGCAACUCGCCUACAUGAAGCUGGAGUUGCUAGUAAUCGCAAAUCAGAAUGUUGCGGUGAAUACGUUCCCGGGUCUUGUACACACCGCCCGUCACACCAUGGAAGUUGACAAUACCCGAAGCCAGUGAGCCAACCAUUUGGAGGCAGCUGUCGAAGGUAGGGCCAAUGACUGGGGUCAAGUCGUAACAAGGUAGCCGUAUCGGAAGGUGCCGG